GCUUUCUAAUGGCAAAUUUGUCAGUGUAAUCUCAGAUGUUUUCAAGCAGCUAUUGCAAAUAAAAACAAAUAUUUUUCUAGCAAGUGUUCACAAUGGCAUUACAUCACUAUAUGUUAGUAGUACAGCACCAGUGACCUCUCAGCAACACAAAAAAUGAUCUAUCAAAUAUGACGGCAAAAACAACACUCAGACUUGAAAAUGGGCUGCUAAACUUGAUUUCUUAUUUGCCAUCCAAAUUUCC
Molecule: unclassified non-coding RNA, 241 nt
Filed under: Hevea brasiliensis (rubber tree)
Lineage: Eukaryota; Viridiplantae; Streptophyta; Magnoliopsida; Malpighiales; Euphorbiaceae
Source: RNAcentral